CAAAAACACAUUAGGAUAUCCAUGCACCUGCAUAGAGAUGAAAGGUUAUGCAGCUAUCGUGUUUCCAUUAUAAAGACUGAAAGUUUGAAACUAGCCAGCUCCGGGAUCACCACCGAGCAUAUUAGUGUUUGACUUUGAAAUUAAU
This is a long non-coding RNA of Hibiscus syriacus, 145 nucleotides long. RefSeq lists it as uncharacterized. The record is from RefSeq and is a predicted model, not a curated record. NCBI's taxonomy places the organism in Eukaryota, Viridiplantae, Streptophyta, Magnoliopsida, Malvales, Malvaceae. The transcript is spliced from 3 exons.